AUGUAUACAUCUAAACAACCUUUUCUUAAAUCUAAGCAACCCUUUAGUAAAUCCAAGCAAACUUUUAAUAAAUCCAAGCAACCCUUUCGUAAAUCCAAGCAAACUUUUCGUAAAUUCAAGCAACCUUUUUGUAAAUCUAAACAACCUUUUCGUAGGCGUCCCCGGAUUGGCCCGGGAGAUCGAAUUGAUUAUAGAAACAUGAGUUUAAUUAAUAGAUUUAUUAGUGAACAAGGAAAAAUAUUAUCGAGACGAAUAAAUAGAUUAACCUUGAAACAACAACGAUUAAUUACUCUUGCUAUAAAACAGGCUCGUAUUUUAUCUUUCUUACCGUUUCGUAACUAUGAGAACGAAAAGCAAUUUCAAGCCCAGUCAAUUUCAAUAAUUACAGGUUCUAGACCCAGAAAAAAUAGACAUAUUCCUCAAUUAACGCAAAAGUACAAUUCCAAUCGAAACUUAAGAAACAACAACCAAAAUUUAAGAAACAACAACCGGAACUUAAGUUCCGAUUGUUGA
Molecule: ribosomal RNA, 513 nt
Filed under: Triticum aestivum (bread wheat)
Lineage: Eukaryota; Viridiplantae; Streptophyta; Magnoliopsida; Poales; Poaceae
Description: partial small subunit ribosomal RNA
Source: RNAcentral